GGAAUUUUGGACAAUGGGCGCAAGCCUGAUCCAGCCAUGCCGCGUGCGGGAAGAAGGCCUUCGGGUUGUAAACCGCUUUUGCCAGGGAAGAAACGCUUCGAGCUAAUACCUUGAAGUAAUGACGGUACCUGAAGAAUAAGCACCGGCUAACUACGUGCCAGCAGCCGCGGUAAGACGUAGGGUGCGAGCGUUAAUCGGAAUUACUGGGCGUAAAGCGGGCGCAGGCGGUCAUGCAAGACAGAUGUGAAAUCCCCGGGCUCAACCUGGGAACUGCAUUUGUGACUGCAUGGCUGGAGUGCGGCAGAGGGGGAUGGAAUUCCGCGUGUAGCAGUGAAAUGCGUAGAUAUGCGGAGGAACACCGAUGGCGAAGGCAAUCCCCUGGGCCUGCACUGACGCUCAUGCACGAAAGCGUGGGGAGCAAA
This 422-nucleotide ribosomal RNA is filed under the name uncultured bacterium. RNAcentral's name for it is "bacterial SSU rRNA". It matches the Rfam family "Bacterial small subunit ribosomal RNA", at positions 358 to 772 of the family's 1533-position model. The record is from RNAcentral.